Molecule: ribosomal RNA, 432 nt
Filed under: uncultured bacterium
Lineage: Bacteria
Description: partial 16S ribosomal RNA
Rfam family: Bacterial small subunit ribosomal RNA
Source: RNAcentral
AACGAACGCUGGCGGCAUGCCUAACACAUGCAAGUCGAACGAGACCUUCGGGUCUAGUGGCGCACGGGUGCGUAACGCGUGGGAACCUGCCCUUAGGUUCGGAAUAACUCCCCGAAAGGGGUGCUAAUACCGGAUAAUGUCUUCGGACCAAAGAUUUAUCGCCUUUGGAUGGGCCCGCGUUGGAUUAGCUAGUUGGUAGGGUAAAAGCCUACCAAGGCGACGAUCCAUAGCUGGUCUGAGAGGAUGAUCAGCCACACUGGGACUGAGACACGGCCCAGACCCCCAGGGGAGGCAGCAGGGGGGAAUAUUGGACAAUGGGGGAAAGCCUGAUCCAGCAAGGCCGGGUGAGUGAUGAAGGCCUUAGGGUUGAAAAGCUUUUUUACCCGGGAUGAUAAUGACAGUCCCGGGAGAAUAAGCCCCGGCUAACUCCGU